CUAGCACGAGAGAACUUAUCAGACUCUCGAGAAGACCUCGAUGACUCGGAGGCGGAGCUAACUUACAAGACUCCUAUAGAGCCCGAGUUGUUCGAGAAGCGGGGGGAGGCCCUUAGAGAACCUUCGGAGGGAUAACUAAUCAGACUCUCAAAAGGCCAUCGAGAGUGCAAGAUGGCACAGGCACAAGCUCGCCGCUGGCACACAUUGCCUCUCGUGCGAAGACGAGAAGUGCUAGAUGCCG
This 241-nucleotide long non-coding RNA is filed under the name Elaeis guineensis (African oil palm). RNAcentral's name for it is "long non-coding RNA (EGUI_LNC017841)". Lineage: Eukaryota; Viridiplantae; Streptophyta; Magnoliopsida; Arecales; Arecaceae. The record is from RNAcentral.